Molecule: long non-coding RNA, 353 nt
Organism: Pogoniulus pusillus (Red-fronted tinkerbird)
Lineage: Eukaryota; Metazoa; Chordata; Aves; Piciformes; Lybiidae
Exons: 2
Source: RefSeq, a predicted model, not a curated record
AAGGGAUAUGAGCCCUCACCCUCUCAAGAGCUCCACACCCUGCCUCAAACCCUCUCUGGUAUUGGCAGCCUGCAGGGAGGAAAGUGAAGGAGGUCAGGAGUGAAAGGUUUUUUACCCAAGCAGUUAAGUGAUGGAUUUCUGCUGGCCUCUGACUCCACGCUGGUUCUGCAUUCACACCCUUGUUUGCCAGUACCAGAACUGAAGGUAACUUGUCACAUCUGAUGUUGAUGGGUGUGGAUGUACCAAUUGCCCUGUGCCAAGCUUUGUUGUGCUUCUGUAAUUUUCAAAGGAUGCUAGCCUUGAAUCUUGGGAUUUAGCUCUCUUCUGGGACCAAAUACGAAUAACUUCUGAAA